GACGAACGCUGGCGGCGUGCUUAACACAUGCAAGUCGAACGGAAAGGCCCUGCUUUUGUGGGGUGCUCGAGUGGCGAACGGGUGAGUAACACGUGAGUAACCUGCCCUUGACUUUGGGAUAACUUCAGGAAACUGGGGCUAAUACCGGAUAGGAGCUCCUGCUGCAUGGUGGGCGUUGGAAAGUUUCGGCGGUUGGGGAUGGACUCGCGGCUUAUCCGCUUGUUGGUGGGGUAGUGGCUUACCAAGGCUUUGACGGGUAGCCGGCCUGAGAGGGUGACCGGCCACAUUGGGACUGAGAUACGGCCCAGACUCCUACGGGAGGCAGCAGUGGGGAAUAUUGCACAAUGGGCGGAAGCCUGAUGCAGCAACGCCGCGUGCGGGAUGACGGCCUUCGGGUUGUAAACCGCUUUCGCCUGUGACGAAGCGUGAGUGACGGUAAUGGGUAAAGAAGCACCGGCUAACUACGUG
RNAcentral lists this ribosomal RNA (468 nucleotides) under uncultured bacterium. RNAcentral describes it as "partial 16S ribosomal RNA". It matches the Rfam family "Bacterial small subunit ribosomal RNA", at positions 28 to 507 of the family's 1533-position model. The record is from RNAcentral.